This 497-nucleotide ribosomal RNA is filed under the name uncultured bacterium. Its description in RNAcentral is "partial 16S ribosomal RNA". It matches the Rfam family "Bacterial small subunit ribosomal RNA", at positions 28 to 507 of the family's 1533-position model. The record is from RNAcentral.
GAUGAACGCUGGCGGCGUGCCUAAUACAUGCAAGUCGAGCGAACAGACGAGGAGCUUGCUCCUCUGACGUUAUCGGCGGACGGGUGAGUAACACGUGGAUAACCUACCUAUAAGACUGGGAUAACUUCGGGAAACCGGAGCUAAUACCGGAUAAUAUAUUGAACCGCAUGGUUCAACAGUGAAAGACGGUUUUGCUGUCACUUAUAGAUUGAUCCGCGCCGCAUUAGCUAGUUGGUAAGGUAACGGCUUACCAAGGCAACGAUGCGUAGCCGACCUGAGAGGGAGAUCGGACACCCUGGAUCUGAGACACGGUCCAGACUCUUACGGGAGGAAGCAGUAGGGAAUCUUCCGCAAUGGGCGAAUGCCUGACGGAGCAACGCCGCGUGAGUGAUGAAGGUCUUCUGAUCGUAAAACUCUGUUAUUAGGGAAGAACAAAUGUGUAAGUAACUAUGCACGUCUUGACGGUACCUACUCAGAAAGCCACGGCUAACUACGUG